GCAUCGAUGAAGAACGCAGCGAAAUGCGAUACGUAAUGCGAAUUGCAGAAUUCAGCGAGUCAUCGAAUCUUUGAACGCACAUUGCGCCCGCCAGCAUUCUGGCGGGCAUGCCUGUCCGAGCGUCA
RNAcentral lists this ribosomal RNA (125 nucleotides) under Ophiostoma ips. RNAcentral's name for it is "partial 5.8S ribosomal RNA". It matches the Rfam family "5.8S ribosomal RNA", at positions 30 to 154 of the family's 154-position model. From Rfam's summary of the family: 5.8S ribosomal RNA (5.8S rRNA) is a component of the large subunit of the eukaryotic ribosome. It is transcribed by RNA polymerase I as part of the 45S precursor that also contains 18S and 28S rRNA. The record is from RNAcentral. Lineage: Eukaryota; Fungi; Ascomycota; Sordariomycetes; Ophiostomatales; Ophiostomataceae.